GACGAACGCUGGCGGCGUGCUUAACACAUGCAAGUCGAACGGAAAGGCCCUGCUUUUGUGGGGUGCUCGAGUGGCGAACGGGUGAGUAACACGUGAGUAACCUGCCCUUGACUUUGGGAUAACUUCAGGAAACUGGGGCUAAUACCGGAUAGGAGCUCCUGCUGCAUGGUGGGGGUUGGAAAGUUUCGGCGGUUGGGGAUGGACUCGCGGCUUAUCAGCUUGUUGGUGGGGUAGUGGCUUACCAAGGCUUUGACGGGUAGCCGGCCUGAGAGGGUGACCGGCCACAUUGGGACUGAGAUACGGCUCAGACUCCUACGGGAGGAAGCAGUGGGGAAUAUUGCACAAUGGGCGGAAGCCUGAUGCAGCAACGCCGCGUGCGGGAUGACUGCCUUCGGGUUGUAAACCGCUUUCGCCUGUGACGAAGCGUGAGUGACGGUAAUGGGUAAAGAAGCACCGGCUAACUACGUG
RNAcentral lists this ribosomal RNA (468 nucleotides) under uncultured bacterium. RNAcentral's name for it is "partial 16S ribosomal RNA". It matches the Rfam family "Bacterial small subunit ribosomal RNA", at positions 28 to 507 of the family's 1533-position model. The record is from RNAcentral.